This 254-nucleotide ribosomal RNA is filed under the name uncultured bacterium. RNAcentral's name for it is "partial 16S ribosomal RNA". It matches the Rfam family "Bacterial small subunit ribosomal RNA", at positions 524 to 776 of the family's 1533-position model. The record is from RNAcentral.
UACGAAGGGGGCUAGCGUUGUUCGGAAUCACUGGGCGUAAAGCGCGUGUAGGCGGAUCGUUAAGUCGGGGGUGAAAUCCUGAGGCUCAACCUCAGAACUGCCUUCGAUACUGGCGAUCUUAGAGUCCGGGAGAGGUGAGUGGAACUCCUAGUGUAGAGGUGAAAUUCGUAGAUAUUAGGAAGAACACCAGUGGCGAAGGCGGCUCACUGGUCCGGUACUGACGCUGAGGUGCGAAAGCUAGGGGAGCAAACAGG